Molecule: ribosomal RNA, 472 nt
Filed under: uncultured bacterium
Lineage: Bacteria
Description: partial 16S ribosomal RNA
Rfam family: Bacterial small subunit ribosomal RNA
Source: RNAcentral
AGUGAACGCUGGCGGUAGGCCUAACACAUGCAAGUCGAACGGCAGCACAGUAAGAGCUUGCUCUUACGGGUGGCGAGUGGCGGACGGGUGAGGAAUACAUCGGAAUCUACUUUUUCGUGGGGGAUAACGUAGGGAAACUUACGCUAAUACCGCAUACGACCUACGGGUGAAAGCAGGGGAUCUUCGGACCUUGCGCGAUUGGAUGAGCCGGUGUCGGAUUAGCUAGUUGGCGGGGUAGAGGCCCACCAAGGCGACGAUGGGUAGCCGGUCUGAGAGGAUGACCGGCCACAUUGGGACUGAGAGACGGCCCAGAGUCCUACGGGAGGCAGCAGUGGGGAGUAUUGCACAAUGGGUGGAAGCCUGAGGCAGCAACGCGGCGUGCGUGAUGACGGCCUUCGGGUUGUAAACAGCUUUCGCCUGUGACGAAGCGUGAGUGACGGUAAUGGGUAAAGAAGCACCGGCUAACUACGUG